RNAcentral lists this ribosomal RNA (649 nucleotides) under uncultured archaeon. RNAcentral's name for it is "bacterial SSU rRNA". It matches the Rfam family "Archaeal small subunit ribosomal RNA", at positions 162 to 809 of the family's 1478-position model. The record is from RNAcentral.
UUAGGGCACUGGAAGGUCCNUAAACCGAAAGGGGCUCUGCCCGCCCGAGGAUGGGCCGGCGGCCGAUUAGGUAGUUGGUGGGGUAACGGCCCACCAAGCCCAUAAUCGGUACGGGCAGUGAGAGCUGGAGCCCGGAGAUGGACACUGAGACACGGGUCCAGGCCCUACGGGGCGCAGCAGGCGCGAAACCUCCGCAAUGCUCGAAAGAGCGACGGGGGGACCCCAAGUGCCGUGGUACAACCACGGCUUUUCCGGAGUGUAAGAAGCUCCGGGAAUAAGGGCUGGGCAAGGCCGGUGGCAGCCGCCGCGGUAAUACCGGCGGCCCGAGUGGUGGCCACUAUUAUUGGGCCUAAAGCGUCCGUAGCCGGGCUUGUAAGUCCCUGGCGAAAUCCCACGGCUCAACCGUGGGGCUUGCUGGGGAUACUGCAAGCCUUGGGACCGGGAGAGGCCGGGGGUACUCCUGGGGUAGGGGUGAAAUCCUAUAAUCCCAGGAGGACCGCCAGUGGCGAAGGCGCCCGGCUGGAACGGGUCCGACGGUGAGGGACGAAGGCCAGGGGAGCAAACCGGAUUAGAUACCCGGGUAGUCCUGGCUGUAAAGGAUGCGGGCUAGGUGUUGCUUGGACCUCGAGUCCAAGCAGUGCCGCAGGGA